CAUGCAAGUCGAACGGAAAGUGCUCUUCGGAGUGACUCGAGUGGCGAACGGGUGAGUAACACGUGGGUGAUCUGCCCUGCACUUUGGGAUAAGCCUGGGAAACUGGGUCUAAUACCGGAUAGGACCAUGGCCUUCAUGGGUUGUGGUGGAAAGCUUUUGCGGUGUGGGAUGGGCCCGCGGCCUAUCAGCUUGUUGGUGGGGUAAUGGCCUACCAAGGCGACGACGGGUAGCCGGCCUGAGAGGGUGUCCGGCCACACUGGGACUGAGAUACGGCCCAGACUCCUACGGGAGGCAGCAGUGGGGAAUAUUGCACAAUGGGCGCAAGCCUGAUGCAGCGACGCCGCGUGAGGGAUGACGGCCUUCGGGUUGUAAACCUCUUUCAGUAGGGACGAAGCGUAAGUGACGGUACCUAUAGAAGAAGCACCGGCCAACUACGUGCCAGCAGCCGCGGUAAUACGUAGGGUGCGAGCGUUGUCCGGAAUUACUGGGCGUAAAGAGCUCGUAGGUGGUUUGUCGCGUUGUUCGUGAAAACUCACA
RNAcentral lists this ribosomal RNA (537 nucleotides) under uncultured Mycobacterium sp. Its description in RNAcentral is "bacterial SSU rRNA". It matches the Rfam family "Bacterial small subunit ribosomal RNA", at positions 54 to 606 of the family's 1533-position model. The record is from RNAcentral. Lineage: Bacteria; Bacillati; Actinomycetota; Actinomycetes; Mycobacteriales; Mycobacteriaceae.